UACACUCAAUAAUAUGAUGUUACACUUUUGAGAUUUCCAAGAAUUAUACACGAGACAGGACACAAUACACCAGUUUCUUAUACGUCCUCUUCUCUUAGUCAUACGUACAGGUAUGUUCAUUUUUUUUUUAAUAACAUAGAACGAGGAUUAACAUAGAGAAAGAAAGAGAGAGAAUCAUUCGUCAUGUAAAUAGACAUUCGACUGUGGAUUUCCAGGAAACAACUUCCAAGAGCAAAAUAAAAACACUCGAGCGUUCGAACUCUGUCAAGGUCGGGAAAGAAAUCUUCUUCAUUCAUAUAACAGUAUCUCGACGAGUACAGAUCUAUCUGCGUAGGAAAAGCAACUAUUCAUUUCGUUUAAAUUAUAUUUCUUGACCGAAUAUUUUUACUUUAACUUUCUAACGUAAUAUUUCAUAUUAUAGAAAGAUCAUCAUUGUAUAUUAUCUAGUAUAGGAAUUUGUAUAAUUUCAUAAGUUAGUCGUCAUCGAGAGUACUGAUACAAUUUAAUCGUUUUAUUUAACUAAAUUAAUAAUACUUGAAAGUAAUAAUUAAAUGUCGGUAUGCAGAAACUUCCAAGUGGUGAAAACUGAGAAAUUGAUAUUGCUUGAGUACUUAUCAAGUCAAUGAUUAUAUAAAGCUACAUCUUAAAAAUACUCAGCUUUCAAUAAUUUUGAUUAGAUCAAACUUAAUCUAUUCAUUCGAAAUAAUACUUUAGAAUAUAAUAUGUUUUCAAUGAGUUACUUUCAGAAAUGUUUCGUUAAAAGUGAUAUUUAUUUUUGUCGUAUUAUCUUUUGUAUGUUUCAGCCAUUUCGAAGUUAUGUCAAUCGUUAUUUCGACUAUUCGUAAGAUCGUUUUAGAGUCGGUGUUUUCUCGUAAUACAUUUAUAUAUUUGUUACAUUAAUCGAUUAAAAUCAAAUUUGAUGCAAUAUAGAAAUUCGCGAAGUAGAGUCAGUGUUAGUGCAUCGUUAUUCGUCAUCGUCCGAAAUAAAGGAUCGACUCUGAUCGUUGAAUAAGCAAUCGUGAGGAUGGUAAUGAAGUGUUAUUAAUAAGUGUUAUUAAUAAGUGUUAUUAAUAAGUGUUAUUUCGUUUAGAUAAAAUCAAAAUCGCGAGUUAGAAAUAUCGUUCUAAAGUGAUUUCAACAAGGAAUGUUAAAAAAACAAGUGUAUUUCGAUCGACUGCGAGCAAAGCAGUCAAUGAACGUUAGAAUUUUCUCUUACAAAAGUUAUAUUUGUAUUUUGAAACAAUCGUAUAUAUAUUGUUCGCGUAUUAAAGUCAGUGCGUCAUUGAAGAUGAAGGAGAAAUUACAAGUUUUCUACAGAAAAAUUAUUGAUCAUCAUCAUCAUCGUCAUCAUCAUCAUCGUGAUUAUCAUCAUCUGUAAUCUUGUCUUGUCGGUCUACUGCAACUAUGUUGACAUAAUUCAUGUUCAAUCUACCUUGGGAACAAUCUACCUCAUUUUCAACUACCUACGGACCAACCUCUAUCAAUUUCAACCUACAUAUCUUCGUGGACGUGUGUUUUGGAGCCAUCGCAGAACUUCUUAAGUAGUGAGUGAAGACAUUUUUUUAUUUAUAUAUAUAUAUUAUUAUUAUUAAUAUCGUUUCUUA
Molecule: long non-coding RNA, 1604 nt
Organism: Vespula vulgaris
Lineage: Eukaryota; Metazoa; Arthropoda; Insecta; Hymenoptera; Vespidae
Exons: 3
Source: RefSeq, a predicted model, not a curated record